CCUACGGGAGGCUGCAGUGAGGAAUAUUGGUCAAUGGACGAGAGUCUGAACCAGCAAAGUAGCGUGAAGGAUGACUGCCCUAUGGGUUGUAAACUUCUUUUAUAAAGGAAUAAAACGAGGCACGUGUGCCUUUUUGCAUGUACUUUAUGAAUAAGGAUCGGCUAACUCCGUGCCAGCAGCCGCGGUAAUACGGAGGAUCCGAGCGUUAUCCGGAUUGAUUGGGUUUAAAGGGAGCGUAGAUGGGUUGGUAAGUCAGUUGUGAAAGUUUGCGGCUCAACCGUAAAAUUGCAAUUGAUACUGGCAGUCUUGAGUACAGUUGAGGUAGGCGGAAUUCGUGGUGUAGCGGUGAAAUGCUUAGAUAUCACGAAGAACCCCGAUUGCGAAGGCAGCUUACUAAACUGUGACUGACAUUGAUGCGCGAAAGUGUGGGUAUCAAACAGGAUUAGAUACCCGGGUAGUC
RNAcentral lists this ribosomal RNA (460 nucleotides) under uncultured bacterium. RNAcentral describes it as "partial 16S ribosomal RNA". It matches the Rfam family "Bacterial small subunit ribosomal RNA", at positions 338 to 795 of the family's 1533-position model. The record is from RNAcentral.